Paramuricea clavata is the source of this 654-nucleotide non-coding RNA. NCBI's taxonomy places the organism in Eukaryota, Metazoa, Cnidaria, Anthozoa, Malacalcyonacea, Plexauridae. The record is from the annotation of a GenBank genome assembly.
UAUACCUUGAGCAACAGUAGACGAAACGGAUUCUGCUGCAUAAUUUCCAGAGUGUAUUUUUCUUGCCGUCUGCUGUAUUACAGCAGGAAUACGCCGGGACAAAGCUAGCCUUACUAACAUUUUAAAACCACAUCAAAACUUGAUUUUCACCUCUUGACCGCGGACAUGUUGUUUUGAUAUUAUACAUUUUCAAUGACGUCAUUGAACAUACAGCGGAUGUUGCUGCGCGGGCGCGGUUUCAAAAAUCGGCGGAGAACUGAGGCGGAGAGUGGGAAUAUUAAUAAAAUGCGCAAACUGAUAAACAAACAAACAAAUCAACAGGCAAACAAACCUGACAUCUUUCCACUCUGAUUUAUCGCUUGGACGAACUUUGUCAAAGAAAAGAUAGUUCGGAUGUGUGGUAACACGGCAAAAUAAAACAGAUCAAUCAUUCGUCAAGAUGAACUACUCGCGUACCAGUGCGUACUUGUUUUACACCAAAACAUUGAGAAAAACAUGCGUGGGCAAGGCCUUGGACAAACCACCACUGGAAAAUUAUCAGGCAUGAUUUCUUCUCGGGACCGUUGCCAGUUCUGCGCAACUCCAGUUCAUGUGGAUUGUUCGUCUGAGAUCGUAUGUCUUGAUUAAACACAGGUUACCCGCGUGGCAGGCUCA